RNAcentral lists this ribosomal RNA (855 nucleotides) under uncultured bacterium. Its description in RNAcentral is "bacterial SSU rRNA". It matches the Rfam family "Bacterial small subunit ribosomal RNA", at positions 28 to 896 of the family's 1533-position model. The record is from RNAcentral.
GACGAACGCUGGCGGCGUGCUUAACACAUGCAAGUCGAACGAUGAAGUUCCUUCGGGGAUGGAUUAGUGGCGAACGGGUGAGGAACACGUGAGAAACCUGCCCAUCAUUUUGGGAUAACACCGGGAAACCGGUGCUAAUACCGGAUACUCCAUCGCAACGGCAUCGUUGUGAUGGGAAAGAAUCUCGAUGAUGGAUGGUCUCGCGGCCUAUCAGCUUGUUGGUGAGGUAAUGGCUCACCAAGGCGACGACGGGUAGCCGGCCUGAGAGGGCGACCGGCCACACUGGGACUGAGACACGGCCCAGACUCCUACGGGAGGCAGCAGUGGGGAAUAUUGGGCAAUGGACGCAAGUCUGACCCAGCGACGCCGCGUGAGGGAUGAAGGCCUUCGGGUUGUAAACCUCUUUCAGUAGGGAAGAAGCGAAAGUGACGGUACCUAAAGAAGAAGCACCGGCUAACUAUGUGCCAGCAGCCGCGGUAAUACAUAGGGUGCAAGCGUUGUCCGGAAUUAUUGGGCGUAAAGAGCUCGUAGGUCGUUUGACACGUCGGAUGUGAAAAUCUGAGGCUUAACCUCAGACCUGCAUUCGAUACGGUCAAACUAGAGUGUGGUAGGGGAGACUGGAAUUCCUGGUGUAGCGGUGGAAUGCGCAGAUAUCAGGAGGAACACCAAUGGCGAAGGCAGGUCUCUGGGCCAUUACUGACACUGAGGAGCGAAAGCGCGGGGAGCGAACAGGAUUAGAUACCCUGGUAGUCCGCGCCGUAAACGGUGGGCACUAGUUGUGGGAACCUUCCACGGUUUCCGCGACGCAGCCUAACGCAUUAAGUGCCCCGCCUGGGGAGUACGAUCGCAAGAUUA